GGCGCGCGGGCGAGUGCGGUCCCGGGCCCUUCUCGCUCUCCUCGGCCCCGCCCACCCCUUCCGUCGCGCCCGGGCCGCAGUCCCUGCCGACGUCACUGACCCGCUGGCGCGCCGCUGGCCCGGGGCGCCCUGAGGCUCGCGAUGCCGGGAGCUCCGCUGCCGGGUUCGAGUCGCAUCCGUUUCCGGAUCCGAGGCCAUCCCGGUCCGGCCUUCCGGCCUGCGGUCUCUUCACGGGGUCCCGCCCCGACCCGCGCCGUGUCAGGUCCCCACUCGCAACGUGCGCUCACGCCCUCUGCACCCCUCGGGCCGCCCGGGACUCCGCAGACCUGUCUUCUCCAGAAGCGGCCCGGCCCCGGCGCUCGCUCCGCUCCGCGGUCACCGCCUCACACACCUGUCCCAGGGAGAUGUUGGUGUUCAUGGAUUUGUAAAGAAUUGACUUGUCUGCAGAUACUGAGUGUUCCUCCUCUUUGGCUCUGCUUCCUGUUGCUUGGACUGUGUGUGAGUGAAAACCCAGAAGACAGUUGGCAGCUGAACUAG
Molecule: long non-coding RNA, 537 nt
Filed under: Moschus moschiferus (Siberian musk deer)
Lineage: Eukaryota; Metazoa; Chordata; Mammalia; Artiodactyla; Moschidae
Description: lncRNA (ENSMMSG00000022263.1)
Source: RNAcentral